UAUAAACUUCUAUCUUCAGUUUUUGAGCUUUAAUCAACAAGGAAUUCUCCUCAGAAGCCUCCAUCGCUCUUUAAAAUACGUUUGUUUUUUUUCAUGAUCUUCAGCAAAAGUUCAAACACUUUUUAAAUCAACUCAAAACAUUAUGAAGAAAAUAAUCAUCUUGAGGUGGAAAGGAAAGCAUUGGAAGCGUCUCCAUCAUCAGGGUUCAGAGGAGGGGCUCCAGGAUGUCACAAACCCCCCACUUCCAUCUCAUCCUGCUGUUCAACAGCCAACUUCAACUGAAAGUCUGGAGGAUGUUUUGUGUCCUGUUGAUGAGCAGAUGUGUGCCUGGGAAAAGCCGGAGUAUGUUCAGCCGGAACAGGUUCCUUAUGAAGAGCACAGGUAUAGAGCCCAACAGCAUGGGGGAAAGUACGGGGGCCACUGUAAAAGUGGCCUUGCAGUAUUUAAUGAUGUCAGGUAUGGGGCCCCAACCAUUGAGGACCAUACAGUCAACACCGUCUUGCAGAAAGCGGAGUAUUACCCCCAACAAAAUCCUGGCCCCUCAACCAUCCCUUCCAUUCCAGCUGUGGUACACCAUCUUGAGCUCCCAACCUUUACCCCCCCACCUAAUGCCAUGCCUCCAGGGACGUAUAGAGAUCCCACUUUUGGAAAAGAGAAUGUGAAUGUCUCUCAUCCCCCACUGCAGUCAGCGCUCCCAGUGAUGGCCCCAGUCUCAAGAAAUGAGGCGAUCGUGACAGAGGAGCCAUACAUUAAAAAGCCCCCCAACGCCUUCAUGCUCUUCCUGAAACAGAACAGGGCAGCUGCGGAGGCAGAGCUGGGCGUGAGGACGAGCGCUGUGGUGAACAAACACCUCGGUGAACGGUGGAGAGCAUUGUCACCAGAGUUAAAAGGUUUAUAUAAUGCUGAGGCCACACUGCAUGCUUUCAUCCAUUUGUCGGAGAACCCUGGCUGGACUAACAAAAUCAACUAUAGAAACAAGAGGAAACGAAGAGAUGAAGCCACUAACUCAGUAUCAAACCAACGAACCAACGCCGCUACACAAACACAUCAGCAGCACCAAGAGCAAGAACAAGCUGGAC
RNAcentral lists this long non-coding RNA (1079 nucleotides) under Gouania willdenowi (blunt-snouted clingfish). RNAcentral describes it as "lncRNA (ENSGWIG00000023248.1)". Lineage: Eukaryota; Metazoa; Chordata; Actinopteri; Blenniiformes; Gobiesocidae. The record is from RNAcentral.